GCCUUCGUGGUGUAGUGGUCAGCACACUCGGCGCGUAUUCCAGAGGUCCGUGGUUCGAGUCCCGGCGAAGGCG
Molecule: transfer RNA, 73 nt
Filed under: Stegodyphus mimosarum
Lineage: Eukaryota; Metazoa; Arthropoda; Arachnida; Araneae; Eresidae
Rfam family: tRNA
About the family: Transfer RNA (tRNA) molecules are approximately 80 nucleotides in length. Their secondary structure includes four short double-helical elements and three loops (D, anti-codon, and T loops).
Source: Rfam by way of RNAcentral